GGGACACGUGGUAUCCUGUCUGAAUAUGGGGGGACCAUCCUCCAAGGCUAAAUACUCCUGACUGACCGAUAGUGAACCAGUACCGUGAGGGAAAGGCGAAAAGAACCCCGGCGAGGGGAGUGAAAAAGAACCUGAAACCGUGUACGUACAAGCAGUGGGAGCACGCUUAGGCGUGUGACUGCGUACCUUUUGUAUAAUGGGUCAGCGACUUAUAUUCUGUAGCAAGGUUAACCGAAUAGGGGAGCCGAAGGGAAACCGAGUCUUAACUGGGCGUUAAGUUGCAGGGUAUAGACCCGAAACCCGGUGAUCUAGCCAUGGGCAGGUUGAAGGUUGGGUAACACUAACUGGAGGACCGAACCGACUAAUGUUGAAAAAUUAGCGGAUGACUUGUGGCUGGGGGUGAAAGGCCAAUCAAACCGGGAGAUAGCUGGUUCUCCCCGAAAGCUAUUUAGGUAGCGCCUCGUGAAUUCAUCUCCGGGGGUAGAGCACUGUUUCGGCAAGGGGGUCAUCCCGACUUACCAACCCGAUGCAAACUGCGAAUACCGGAGAAUGUUAUCACGGGAGACACACGGCGGGUGCUAACGUCCGUCGUGAAGAGGGAAACAACCCAGACCGCCAGCUAAGGUCCCAAAGUCAUGGUUAAGUGGGAAACGAUGUGGGAAGGCCCAGACAGCCAGGAUGUUGGCUUAGAAGCAGCCAUCAUUUAAAGAAAGCGUAAUAGCUCACUGGUCGAGUCGGCCUGCGCGGAAGAUGUAACGGGGCUAAACCAUGCACCGAAGCUGCGGCAGCGACGCUUAUGCGUUGUUGGGUAGGGGAGCGUUCUGUAAGCCUGUGAAGGUGUACUGUGAGGUAUGCUGGAGGUAUCAGAAGUGCGAAUGCUGACAUAAGUAACGAUAAAGCGGGUGAAAAGCCCGCUCGCCGGAAGACCAAGGGUUCCUGUCCAACGUUAAUCGGGGCAGGGUGAGUCGACCCCUAAGGCGAGGCCGAAAGGCGUAGUCGAUGGGAAACAGGUUAAUAUUCCUGUACUUGGUGUUACUGCGAAGGGGGGACGGAGAAGGCUAUGUUGGCCGGGCGACGGUUGUCCCGGUUUAAGCGUGUAGGCUGGUUUUCCAGGCAAAUCCGGAAAAUCAAGGCUGAGGCGUGAUGACGAGGCACUACGGUGCUGAAGCAACAAAUGCCCUGCUUCCAGGAAAAGCCUCUAAGCAUCAGGUAACAUCAAAUCGUACCCCAAACCGACACAGGUGGUCAGGUAGAGAAUACCAAGGCGCUUGAGAGAACUCGGGUGAAGGAACUAGGCAAAAUGGUGCCGUAACUUCGGGAGAAGGCACGCUGAUAUGUAGGUGAAGUCCCUCGCGGAUGGAGCUGAAAUCAGUCGAAGAUACCAGCUGGCUGCAACUGUUUAUUAAAAACACAGCACUGUGCAAACACGAAAGUGGACGUAUACGGUGUGACGCCUGCCCGGUGCCGGAAGGUUAAUUGAUGGGGUCAGCGCAAGCGAAGCUCUUGAUCGAAGCCCCGGUAAACGGCGGCCGUAACUAUAACGGUCCUAAGGUAGCGAAAUUCCUUGUCGGGUAAGUUCCGACCUGCACGAAUGGCGUAAUGAUGGCCAGGCUGUCUCCACCCGAGACUCAGUGAAAUUGAACUCGCUGUGAAGAUGCAGUGUACCCGCGGCAAGACGGAAAGACCCCGUGAACCUUUACUAUAGCUUGACACUGAACAUUGAGCCUUGAUGUGUAGGAUAGGUGGGAGGCUUUGAAGUGUGGACGCCAGUCUGCAUGGAGCCGACCUUGAAAUACCACCCUUUAAUGUUUGAUGUUCUAACGUUGACCCGUGAUCCGGGUUGCGGACAGUGUCUGGUGGGUAGUUUGACUGGGGCGGUCUCCUCCUAAAGAGUAACGGAGGAGCACGAAGGUUGGCUAAUCCUGGUCGGACAUCAGGAGGUUAGUGCAAUGGCAUAAGCCAGCUUGACUGCGAGCGUGACGGCGCGAGCAGGUGCGAAAGCAGGUCAUAGUGAUCCGGUGGUUCUGAAUGGAAGGGCCAUCGCUCAACGGAUAAAAGGUACUCCGGGGAUAACAGGCUGAUACCGCCCAAGAGUUCAUAUCGACGGCGGUGUUUGGCACCUCGAUGUCGGCUCAUCACAUCCUGGGGCUGAAGUAGGUCCCAAGGGUAUGGCUGUUCGCCAUUUAAAGUGGUACGCGAGCUGGGUUUAGAACGUCGUGAGACAGUUCGGUCCCUAUCUGCCGUGGGCGCUGGAGAACUGAGGGGGGCUGCUCCUAGUACGAGAGGACCGGAGUGGACGCAUCACUGGUGUUCGGGUUGUCAUGCCAAUGGCACUGCCCGGUAGCUAAAUGCGGAAGAGAUAAGUGCUGAAAGCAUCUAAGCACGAAACUUGCCCCGAGAUGAGUUCUCCCUGACUCCUUGAGAGUCCUGAAGGAACGUUGAAGACGACGACGUUGAUAGGCCGGGUGUGUAAGCGCAGCGAUGCGUUGAGCUAACCGGUACUAAUGAACCGUGAGGCUUAACCUUACAACGCCGAAG
This 2538-nucleotide ribosomal RNA is filed under the name Escherichia coli. Its description in RNAcentral is "partial 23S ribosomal RNA". It matches the Rfam family "Bacterial large subunit ribosomal RNA", at positions 419 to 2925 of the family's 2925-position model. The record is from RNAcentral. Lineage: Bacteria; Pseudomonadati; Pseudomonadota; Gammaproteobacteria; Enterobacterales; Enterobacteriaceae.